UGGGUAGUCGCCAAGCGGUAAGGCACAGGAUUUUGAUUCCUGCAUUCGAAGGUUCGAGUCCUUCCUACCCAG
RNAcentral lists this transfer RNA (72 nucleotides) under Candidatus Faecimorpha stercoravium. RNAcentral describes it as "tRNA-Gln". It matches the Rfam family "tRNA". Rfam says of the family: Transfer RNA (tRNA) molecules are approximately 80 nucleotides in length. RNAcentral also lists the same sequence under 1 other name. The record is from RNAcentral. Lineage: Bacteria; Bacillati; Bacillota; Clostridia; Eubacteriales.